This 253-nucleotide ribosomal RNA is filed under the name uncultured bacterium. Its description in RNAcentral is "partial 16S ribosomal RNA". It matches the Rfam family "Bacterial small subunit ribosomal RNA", at positions 524 to 776 of the family's 1533-position model. The record is from RNAcentral.
UACGAAGGUCCCGAGCGUUAUCCGGAUUUAUUGGGUUUAAAGGGUGCGUAGGCGGGUUAUUAAGUCAGUGGUGAAAGCCUACAGCUUAACUGUAGAAUUGCCAUUGAUACUGAUGAUCUUGAGUAUGAUUGAGGUGGGCGGAAUGUGUCAUGUAGUGGUGAAAUGCUUAGAUAUGACACAGAACACCGAUUGCGAAGGCAGCUCACUAAGUCAUAACUGACGCUGAUGCACGAAAGCGUGGGGAGCAAACAGG